GGGGAUGUAGCUCAGAUGGUAGAGCGCUCGCUUAGCAUGCGAGAAGUACGGGGAUCGAUACCCUGCAUCGCCA
RNAcentral lists this transfer RNA (73 nucleotides) under Daphnia pulex (common water flea). It matches the Rfam family "tRNA". Rfam says of the family: Transfer RNA (tRNA) molecules are approximately 80 nucleotides in length. Their secondary structure includes four short double-helical elements and three loops (D, anti-codon, and T loops). The record is from Rfam by way of RNAcentral. Lineage: Eukaryota; Metazoa; Arthropoda; Branchiopoda; Diplostraca; Daphniidae.